Non-coding RNA from Subdoligranulum sp. 4_3_54A2FAA, 349 nucleotides. Lineage: Bacteria; Bacillati; Bacillota; Clostridia; Eubacteriales; Oscillospiraceae. The record is from Rfam.
GGGGAUGUAAAGGUUUCGACGGGGAGAGGAAAGCGAAAGCAGCGGGUAGUGCUCGGGGGACGCACUUAAAACGCCUCCAAAAAAAUAGCUAACAACAAUAAAUUAGCUGUCGCUGCCUAAUUAAAGGCAGCUGUCUUGCCCGGCUUACCGCGCGCCGGGGUCAAGGCAUCAUUUAGCGGUGCACGUGAGCAGCAUCAAGCUUUGUUUGCUGCCAUGAACUGAUGAAGCUACCGAAGCGGCGGCCCGUUUACCGGCCUGCCGAUGGGGGAAUCCUGUAGGUGAACUGCACCCGGAGAUACUAGCGUGGACCUCUUUUCGGACACGGGUUCGAUUCCCGUCAUCUCCACCA